GCAUAUCAAUAAGCGGAGGAAAAGAAACCAACAGGGAUUGCCCCAGUAACGGCGAAGUGAAGCGGCAAUAGCUCAAAUUUGAAAUCUCGGCUCUUUCAGAGUCCGAGUUGUAAUUUGCAGAGGGCGCUUUGGAGUCGGCAGCGGCCUAAGUUCCUUGGAACAGGUCAUCAUAGAGGGUGAGAAUCCCGUAUGUGGCCGCUUGUCUUCGCCGUGUAAAGCCCCUUCGAUGAGUCGAGUUGUUUGGGAAUGCAGCUCUAAAUGGGAGGUAAAUUUCUUCUAAAGCUAAAUAUUGGCCAGAGACCGAUAGCGCACAAGUAGAGUGAUCGAAAGAUGAAAAGCACUUUGGAAAGAGAGUCAAAAAGCACGUGAAAUUGUUGAAAGGGAAGCGCUUGCAGCCAGACGUGCCCGCAGUUGCUCAUCUCCAGUUUACUGGGGUGUACUCUUCUGUGGGCAGGCCAGCAUCAGUUCAGGCGGCUGGAGAAAGACCUGUGUCAUGUAGCUGUCUUCGGGCAGUGUUAUAGGGCAGGUGGAAUGCAGCCAGCUUGAACUGAGGUCCGCGCAUCUGCUAGGAUGCUGGCGUAAUGGCUGUAAGCGGCCCGUCUUGAAACACGGACCAAGGAGUCUAACAUCUAUGCGAGUGUUUGGGUGUCAAGCCCGAGCGCGUAAUGAAAGUGAACGGAGGUGGGAACCCCUCGGGGUGCACCAUCGACCGAUCCUGAUGUCUUCGGAUGGAUUUGAGUAAGAGCAUAGCUGUUGGGACCCGAAAGAUGGUGAACUAUGCCUGAAUAGGGUGAAGCCAGAGGAAACUCUGGUGGAGGCUCGCAGCGGUUCUGACGUGCAAAUCGAUCGUCAAAUUUGGGCAUAGGGGCGAAAGACUAAUCGAACUAUCUAGUAGCUGGUUCCUGCG
RNAcentral lists this ribosomal RNA (907 nucleotides) under Colispora cavincola. RNAcentral's name for it is "LSU rRNA". It matches the Rfam family "Eukaryotic large subunit ribosomal RNA", at positions 38 to 962 of the family's 3401-position model. The record is from RNAcentral. Lineage: Eukaryota; Fungi; Ascomycota.